Molecule: ribosomal RNA, 318 nt
Filed under: Triticum aestivum (bread wheat)
Lineage: Eukaryota; Viridiplantae; Streptophyta; Magnoliopsida; Poales; Poaceae
Description: partial small subunit ribosomal RNA
Source: RNAcentral
AUGGCAAAUUUACUUCAACAUUCAUGGCAAUUUUUUUCCUGCAUGAAAUUAUUUACUCUUUUUUUGCCAUUUCAAAUUUACCUUUAUUUUGUCAUGGCAACAUUUACCUUUUAUUUGCCAUGCCAAAAUAAAGGAAAAUUCAUGGAGCAUGGCAAAUUUAACUUUCUGCUUUGCCAUGUCAACUUUUACUUUUUUUCGCCAUGGCAAAAUUUUACGUUCAUUGCCAUGGCAAUUUUACCUUUAAAUACUUGGCAAAUUUAUUGUUACAUACAUGGCAAAUUUUACUUUGUUUUGCCAUGUCAAAAGAAUUACUUUUAA